RNAcentral lists this ribosomal RNA (253 nucleotides) under uncultured bacterium. RNAcentral's name for it is "partial 16S ribosomal RNA". It matches the Rfam family "Bacterial small subunit ribosomal RNA", at positions 524 to 776 of the family's 1533-position model. The record is from RNAcentral.
UACAGAGGGGGCAAGCGUUGUUCGGAAUUACUGGGCGUAAAGCGUGCGUAGGCGGUUCUCCAAGUCCGUUGUGAAAGCCCCGGGCUCAACCUGGGAAUGGCAGUGGAAACUAGGGGACUGGAAUCUGGCAGAGGGGGGUGGAAUGCCGCGUGUAGCAGUGAAAUGCGUAGAGAUGCGGCGGAACACCGAUGGCGAAGGCAGCCCCCUGGGCUGAGAUUGACGCUCAGGCACGAAAGCGUGGGGAGCAAACAGG